RNAcentral lists this ribosomal RNA (497 nucleotides) under uncultured bacterium. RNAcentral describes it as "partial 16S ribosomal RNA". It matches the Rfam family "Bacterial small subunit ribosomal RNA", at positions 28 to 507 of the family's 1533-position model. The record is from RNAcentral.
GAUGAACGCUGGCGGCGUGCCUAAUACAUGCAAGUCGAGCGAACGGACGAGAAGCUUGCUUCUCUGAUGUUAGCGGCGGACGGGUGAGUAACACGUGGAUAACCUACCUAUAAGACUGGGAUAACUUCGGGAAACCGGAGCUAAUACCGGAUAAUAUUUUGAACCGCAUGGUUCAAAAGUGAAAGACGGUCUUGCUGUCACUUAUAGAUGGAUCCGCGCUGCAUUAGCUAGUUGGUAAGGUAACGGCUUACCAAGGCAACGAUGCAUAGCCGACCUGAGAGGGUGAUCAGCCACACUGGAACUGAGACACGGUCCAGACUCCUACGGGAGGCAGCAGUAGGGAAUCUUCCGCAAUGGGCGGAAGCCUGACGGAGCAACGCCGCGUGAGUGAUGAAGGUCUUCGGAUCGUAAAACUCUGUUAUUAGGGAAGAACAUAUGUGUAAGUAACUGUGCACAUCUUGACGGUACCUAAUCAGAAAGCCACGGCUAACUACGUG